Molecule: long non-coding RNA, 309 nt
Filed under: Hordeum vulgare
Lineage: Eukaryota; Viridiplantae; Streptophyta; Magnoliopsida; Poales; Poaceae
Description: long non-coding RNA (HVUL_LNC014863)
Source: RNAcentral
UUUCUAGACGAGCCAUUCUGUUCAGGUUGUUUGCUAACAGGUCGUUAUUUUCAGAUGCCCCAAGUGUGCACAGCUGAAGCUCCCCCGUGAAGCUGCUGCUUUCUGGUGAGUUGCAUGCUCCUUUUUCUUCCCACAUUUUUGUACUGCGAUAAACCCAAUGAAGAUUUUCAGUUGUUCUAUAGGUGUUGCUCGUUUCACAGCUGGCAUGAACUAUAAUUUAUCAUGAAGCCCUUGAAUUGAUACCAAUACUUCUAAGCAGAGUUCUGAAUGACCUUGUAAAAAUGUCUAGAGUUUUACCUAAUUGUUGGC